Molecule: microRNA, 21 nt
Filed under: Oryctolagus cuniculus (rabbit)
Lineage: Eukaryota; Metazoa; Chordata; Mammalia; Lagomorpha; Leporidae
Description: ocu-miR-506-3p
Gene: ocu-miR-506-3p
Source: miRBase by way of RNAcentral
AAUGGUACACUUCUGAGUAGA